UACAGAGGUGGCAAGCGUUGUUCGGAAUUACUGGGCGUAAAGGGCGAGUAGGUGGCCAUCUAAGUCAGACGUGAAAUCCCCCGGCUUAACCUGGGAACUGCGUCUGAUACUGGACGGCUUGAGUAUGGGAGAGGAACGUAGAAUUCCAGGUGUAGCGGUGAAAUGCGUAGAUAUCUGGAGGAACACCGGUGGCGAAGGCGACAUCCUGGACCGGUAUUGACGCUGAGGCGCGAAAGCCAGGGGAGCAAACGGG
Molecule: ribosomal RNA, 253 nt
Filed under: uncultured bacterium
Lineage: Bacteria
Description: partial 16S ribosomal RNA
Rfam family: Bacterial small subunit ribosomal RNA
Source: RNAcentral